GUUGACUAAUUUGUCUACUGAACACUUGCCAAUUAGAACACAUUUACUUCUGCAUGCUUUCCCUUUUGUCUAGAAAUGGUUUUAAUUUUCUUAUUAUGAAUUUCUAUAGAUGCUACAUCCACAAGAUGAGCAGCAACAGAUUGAAUUCCUGAAUUCGUUUAGUCUCAUCUCCAGCAUGAGUUAAAAUUUGGGUUUGAAACUCAGGUGGACUGUUGAGUAGUCCAAAUCUGAAUUUCUACUGGAGUCUUGCUAGAUGAUAUCAGGAACAAGGUAACUUCUACUGUGUGAUUUGCCGAUUGCCACCAGUCAAAAAGAUCACCUUACAUAAGGUUACUGGAUUGGUGAUUGGAUGUUGAUCUUAACAUGUAAGGAUCUGUAAAAUGAAUGCCAAUACAUUUCAACUGUUUAUGCUAUUUAAAGUUUGUUAGACCCAUCUUUUGGUCCUGAAUCUUCAUAGGUCUUUCAUGGUGCAGACAUUCUGUCAAUGCCAAGGUUAUUUUUAAGA
This 505-nucleotide long non-coding RNA is filed under the name Daphnia pulicaria. RNAcentral describes it as "uncharacterized LOC124342915, transcript variant X2". Lineage: Eukaryota; Metazoa; Arthropoda; Branchiopoda; Diplostraca; Daphniidae. The record is from RNAcentral.